UUAUCUAAAAUGACUCUCGGCAACGGAUAUCUCGGCUCUUGCAUCGAUGAAGAACGUAGCGAAAUGCGAUACUUGGUGUGAAUUGCAGAAUCCCGUGAAC
RNAcentral lists this ribosomal RNA (100 nucleotides) under Flemingia macrophylla. Its description in RNAcentral is "partial 5.8S ribosomal RNA". The stretch from base 12 to 100 matches the Rfam family "5.8S ribosomal RNA", at positions 1 to 89 of the family's 154-position model. Rfam says of the family: 5.8S ribosomal RNA (5.8S rRNA) is a component of the large subunit of the eukaryotic ribosome. It is transcribed by RNA polymerase I as part of the 45S precursor that also contains 18S and 28S rRNA. Functionally, it is thought that 5.8S rRNA may be involved in ribosome translocation. The record is from RNAcentral. RNAcentral also lists the same sequence under 3 other names. Lineage: Eukaryota; Viridiplantae; Streptophyta; Magnoliopsida; Fabales; Fabaceae.